RNAcentral lists this ribosomal RNA (468 nucleotides) under uncultured bacterium. RNAcentral describes it as "partial 16S ribosomal RNA". It matches the Rfam family "Bacterial small subunit ribosomal RNA", at positions 28 to 507 of the family's 1533-position model. The record is from RNAcentral.
GACGAACGCUGGCGGCGUGCUUAACACAUGCAAGUCGAACGGAAAGGCCCUGCUUUUGUGGGGUGCUCGAGUGGCGAACGGGUGAGUAACACGUGAGUAACCUGCCCUUGACUUUGGGAUAACUUCGGGAAACUGGGGCUAAUACCGGAUAGGAGCUCCUGCUGCAUGGUGGGGGUUGGAAAGUUUCGGCGGUUGGGGAUGGACUCGCGGCUUAUCAGCUUGUUGGUGGGGUAGUGGCUUACCAAGGCUUUGACGGGUAGCCGGCCUGAGAGGGUGACCGGCCACAUUGGGACUGAGGUACGGCCCAGACUCCUACGGGAGGCAGCAGUGGGGAAUAUUGCACAAUGGGCGGAAGCCUGAUGCAGCAACGCCGCGUGCGGGAUGACGGCCUUCGGGUUGUAAACCGCUUUCGCCUGUGACGAAGCGUGAGUGACGGUAAUGGGUAAAGAAGCACCGGCUAACUACGUG